This 460-nucleotide ribosomal RNA is filed under the name uncultured bacterium. RNAcentral describes it as "partial 16S ribosomal RNA". It matches the Rfam family "Bacterial small subunit ribosomal RNA", at positions 338 to 795 of the family's 1533-position model. The record is from RNAcentral.
CCUACGGGGGACAGCAGUGAGGAAUAUUGGUCAAUGGACGAGAGUCUGAACCAGCCAAGUAGCGUGAAGGAUGACUGCCCUAUGGGUUGUAAACUUCUUUUAUAUGGGAAUAAAAUGUUCCACGUGUGGGAUUUUGUAUGUACCAUAUGAAUAAGGAUCGGCUAACUCCGUGCCAGCAGCCGCGGUAAUACGGGGGAUCCGAGCGUUAUCCGGAUUUAUUGGGUUUAAAGGGAGCGUAGGUGGAUUGUUAAGUCAGUUGUGAAAGUUUGCGGCUCAACCGUAAAAUUGCAGUUGAAACUGGCAGUCUUGAGUACAGUAGAGGUAAGCGGAAUUCGUGGUGUAGCGGUGAAAUGCUUAGAUAUCACGAAGAACUCCGAUUGCGAAGGCAGUUCACUGGACUGCAACUGACACUGAGGCUCGAAAGUGUGGGUAUCAAACAGGAUUAGAUACCCGUGUAGUC